This 519-nucleotide ribosomal RNA is filed under the name uncultured Pseudomonas sp. Its description in RNAcentral is "bacterial SSU rRNA". It matches the Rfam family "Bacterial small subunit ribosomal RNA", at positions 247 to 757 of the family's 1533-position model. Lineage: Bacteria; Pseudomonadati; Pseudomonadota; Gammaproteobacteria; Pseudomonadales; Pseudomonadaceae. The record is from RNAcentral.
AGUUGGUGGGGUAAAGGCCUACCAAGGCGACGAUCCGUAACUGGUCUGAGAGGAUGAUCAGUCACACUGGAACUGAUACACGGUCCAGACUCCUACGGGAGGCAGCAGUGGGGAAUAUUGGACAAUGGGCGAAAGCCUGAUCCAGCCAUGCCGCGUGUGUGAAGAAGGUCUUCGGAUUGUAAAGCACUUUAAGUUGGGAGGAAGGGCAGUAAGUUAAUACCUUGCUUUUUUGACGUUACCAACAGAAUAAGCACCGGCUAACUUCGUGCCAGCACCCGCGGUAAUACGAAGGGUGCAAGCGUUAAUCGGAAUUACUGGGCGUAAAGCGCGCGUAUGUGGUUCAGCAAGUUGGAUGUGAAAUCCCCGGGCUCAACCUGGGAACUGCAUCCAAAACUACUGAGCUAGAGUACGGUAUAGGGUGGUGGAAUUUCCUGUGUAGCGGUGAAAUGCGUAGAUAUAGGAAGGGAACACCAGUGGCGAAGGCGACCACCUGGACUGAUACUGACACUGAGGUGCGAA